Molecule: ribosomal RNA, 580 nt
Filed under: Polystira oxytropis
Lineage: Eukaryota; Metazoa; Mollusca; Gastropoda; Neogastropoda; Turridae
Description: partial 12S ribosomal RNA
Source: RNAcentral
UGCCAGCAGUCGCGGUUACACCAAGGAAUUAAGUCAUAUUUAAAUGGUAAAAAGACAGUUAGACUUAAAUAUAUCUAAGCUUCUUGACCAUUUAUAAAAAAGUAAAAUUUAUAUAUAAAUGUGUAAUCUAAAAAUAGCUAUAGGUUGAAUCUGUGACAGCUUGGAGGGAAACUGGGAUUAGAUACCCCAUUAUUCCUGGCUAUAAAUUAAAUUAAAUUUACCAGAGUACUAUGAAUACUAUAAAAUUUAAAACUCAAAGGACUUGGCGGUGUUUUAGACCACUCAGGGGAACCUGUCCCGUAAUCGAUAAUCCACGUUACACCUAACCCACUUUUGCUUUCAGCUUGUAUACCGUUGUCGUCAGGUAACUUUUUAGAAUUCAGAAGUUAGCUAAAAAUAAUAAGUUUAAACGUCAAAUCAAGGUGCAGCUAACAAGGGGGAGAGGAUGGGUUACAAUUAUUUAAUUAUAACUACGAAAGAUCAUAAGAAUAAACGAUUAAGAAGGAGGACUUGAAAGUAAAUUAAAUUAUAGAAAUAACUUGAAUAAGGCUCUGAAAUGCGCACACAUCGCCCGCCGCUC